Molecule: ribosomal RNA, 283 nt
Filed under: uncultured bacterium
Lineage: Bacteria
Description: partial 16S ribosomal RNA
Rfam family: Bacterial small subunit ribosomal RNA
Source: RNAcentral
GUGGAUUAGAUACCCUGGUAGUCCACGCCCUAAACGAUGAUAACUCGAUGUUAGCGAUAUACAGUUAGCGUCUUAGCGAAAGCGUUAAGUUAUCCACCUGGGGAGUACGCCCGCAAGGGUGAAACUCAAAGGAAUUGACGGGGGCCCGCACAAGCGGAGGAGCAUGUGGUUUAAUUCGAUGAUACGCGAGGAACCUUACCCGGGCUUGAAAGUUACUGAAUGAUCUAGAGAUAGAUCAGUCCUUCGGGACAGGAAACUAGGUGCUGCACGGUCGUCGACAACU